Molecule: unclassified non-coding RNA, 1951 nt
Filed under: Acanthaster planci (crown-of-thorns starfish)
Lineage: Eukaryota; Metazoa; Echinodermata; Asteroidea; Valvatida; Acanthasteridae
Description: vesicle transport through interaction with t-SNAREs homolog 1B-like, transcript variant X4
Source: RNAcentral
UAUAUGGACAAGCUAGAUCGCGGCCACCCCGCUGUAAGAAAAUUGCAUGUACCGGGGGUUAUGAUGUUACAUGACAGUACGAUGGAAUGAUAGACCUACAUGUAGUGUACUAUAUAUUCAUGAUUUUGAAUCGCUAUCAUGUUAUUUACGGAUCCCACCAAGUAUCGAAUGCAGAAGGAGGCACUAAUACAUUAAAUUCUGACUAGAAACUACCUCUUCGUUACUAUUACUACACUGUAGGCCUAGGCCAGUAGCCUACUGCCUAUUGUCCACCGGAUCAUAUGCGCCAAUUUAAAAAAAAACAGAACGGUUGAGGCUUCAUGUACUCACACAUCUGAGCAGUGAGCAGCUGUGACAUCAGUCAUGUCAUCGGAGAAAUUCGAAAGAUACCAGGAGGAGUUGCUCACACUCUAUGAAGAUUUGAAGUACCGGGUGGAGGUCACCAUACCUAAAUAUGAUGGAGAGGAACGUAAGAAGUUGAUCCGUCAUGCCGAGAGAGGGCUAGAGGAAGCAGCCAUCGUGCUGCAAGAGAUGGAAGAGGAGGCCAAACCGGCCCCUGGAAGUUAUCGUAGUCAGAUGGUAGCCAAGGUCAGAAACUACAGGAGAGAACUGGACAAAAUCACCAGGGACCUGAAAAGAGCCAGUGAUGGAAGGGGUAACCGCAGUGAAUUGUUCCACUCGCAAAGCAGCUUUGAAAACAAAGUCAAUGUUGCUCAGAGCAAUCAGCGAGCCAGGCUUCUGCAGGGUCAGGAGACCCUAAACAGAACCAGCGACAGCCUGGCCAGGACCCAUCAGAUAGCCGCAGAGACAGAUGAGAUUGGAGUGGGAAUCAUCGACGAACUGGAUGGCCAAAAGGAGCAGUUGUUAAAUGCUAGGGACAAGCUUGAGGAUAUGGACCACAGUUUAGGAAAAAGUAAAAGGAUCCUUAACUCCAUGGGCAGAAGGAUCAUAACUAACAAGCUGAUCUUGAUGGCCGUUAUCCUGGUAGAAUUGGUCAUUUUGGGCGUGGUGGUGUACCUGAAAUUCUUUUCACCCAAAGAGCCAGCACCGCCAACAGCCAGACCUUUCACUCCCAAAACGUGACCAGUCUCUCCAUCCAAAGACUAGCAGAUGGAAAUGCAGGAUGCAUCAAUCUAGAAUUACAGCACUCCAGUUCAGUGUAGUGCUGUAGUCAAUAGUCAACAGACACUCAUAUGAAAUCUCUCCAGAGACUUUUAUUUGAAAAUGGCAAUGUGGGCAGAUUCUGAAGACAAGCGGAGCAGCAUUGGGCAGUGGGUACAUCAAUCAAGGUCUUCUGGGAAACUUGCAUACAAUGGAGGGGCACGGAACAUUUCCUUCCAACCAAAUGCUCCUUCCACAUGAACAGUUCCAUCUUCUUCCUGACCAAACUGGUUCCCGCUACCUCCUUGGUUGCGAGACUCCAAUGUAAACAUGCCAUGACAGUGAAAUGGAACCAGUGACAACAUUUCCAGAUGUUGGAAAGUGUAUUGUUGAUUACUCCAAGCAAGUGGCAAUUUUUCAGAUGGGAGCUUUUACCAACCUCAAUCUUUGGCUACAACUGGGCUGUUCCAUUCCAGUUUGGUCACUGUUGAUGAACGAAGUAUACACAAUAUUCCAUGACAGUGAAGCAAGUCCUCGUCCCAGACAGGCAAACAGGAGAGUUUUCUGUGACUCCCAAAUCACUUUCCGGGGUUGGACAUAUCAGUGUAUUCAUGCUGUGAUCAACUGUAAUGCAAGUUGCUCCAGUGACAAGCACAGAUAUUCCCCGACUACUGCCAAGGGCUUGGGAAAAAAAAAGGGGGAGGGGUGGCUUGAUCCAAGACAGCUCCUGAAGCCGUUGGCAGGACACAGGGAUGGUUAGCUGAGGUGAUAACAUCUCUAGUGUCUCAAUCAACUAUGACAAUCAUCAGACUACACAAAUAUACAGCAGAAUUAAAUAAUUUGAUUUAUA